GGCUUAGUGGGUUAGUGGGUUAGCGCAUUAGCCUCACACCUCCAGGGUCCGGGGUUCGAUUCCCGCCGGGGCCA
Molecule: non-coding RNA, 74 nt
Organism: Ameiurus melas (black bullhead)
Lineage: Eukaryota; Metazoa; Chordata; Actinopteri; Siluriformes; Ictaluridae
Source: the annotation of a GenBank genome assembly